ACACUCCUGCGGCAGGCAGCAGUGGGGAAUUUUGGACAAUGGGCGAAAGCCUGAUCCAGCAAUGCCGCGUGAGUGAAGAAGGCCUUCGGGUUGUAAAGCUCUUUUGUCAGGGAAGAAACGGUGAGAGCUAAUAUCUUUUGCUAAUGACGGUACCUGAAGAAUAAGCACCGGCUAACUACGUGCCAGCAGCCGCGGUAAUACGUAGGGUGCAAGCGUUAAUCGGAAUUACUGGGCGUAAAGCGUGCGCAGGCGGUUUUGUAAGUCUGAUGUGAAAUCCCCGGGCUCAACCUGGGAAUUGCAUUGGAGACUGCAAGGCUAGAAUCUGGCAGAGGGGGGUAGAAUUCCACGUGUAGCAGUGAAAUGCGUAGAUAUGUGGAGGAACACCGAUGGCGAAGGCAGCCCCCUGGGUCAAGAUUGACGCUCAUGCACGAAAGCGUGGGGAGCAAACAGGAUUAGAUACCCCUGUAGUCCCAUG
This 475-nucleotide ribosomal RNA is filed under the name uncultured organism. RNAcentral's name for it is "partial 16S ribosomal RNA". It matches the Rfam family "Bacterial small subunit ribosomal RNA", at positions 333 to 799 of the family's 1533-position model. The record is from RNAcentral.